GGUGCUUGCACCCCGCUGACGAGCGGCGGACGGGUGAGUAAUGCAUAGGAAACUGCCCAGUAGUGGGGGAUAGCCCGGGGAAACCCGGAUUAAUACCGCGUACGCCCUUCGGGGGAAAGCAGGGGAUCUUCGGACCUUGCGCUAUUGGAUGUGCCUAUGUCGGAUUAGCUAGUUGGUGGGGUAAAGGCCUACCAAGGCGACGAUCCGUAGCUGGUCUGAGAGGAUGAUCAGCCACAUCGGGACUGAGACACGGCCCGAACUCCUACGGGAGGCAGCAGUGGGGAAUAUUGGACAAUGGGGGCAACCCUGAUCCAGCCAUGCCGCGUGUGUGAAGAAGGCUUUCGGGUUGUAAAGCACUUUCAGUGAGGAGGAAAACCUUAUGGUUAAUACCCAUGAGGC
RNAcentral lists this ribosomal RNA (399 nucleotides) under marine sediment bacterium BB0608_2216_1.2_9G0. Its description in RNAcentral is "bacterial SSU rRNA". It matches the Rfam family "Bacterial small subunit ribosomal RNA", at positions 75 to 473 of the family's 1533-position model. The record is from RNAcentral.